RNAcentral lists this ribosomal RNA (506 nucleotides) under uncultured bacterium. RNAcentral's name for it is "partial 16S ribosomal RNA". It matches the Rfam family "Bacterial small subunit ribosomal RNA", at positions 29 to 523 of the family's 1533-position model. The record is from RNAcentral.
AGUGAACGCUGGCGGUAGGCCCAACACAUGCAAGUCGAACGGCAGCACAGGAGAGCUUGCUCUCUGGGUGGCGAGUGGCGGACGGGGGAGGAAUACAUCGGAAUCUACUUUUUCGUGGGGGAUAACGUAGGGAAACUUACGCUAAUACCGCAUACGACCUACGGGUGAAAGCAGGGGAUCUUCGGACCUUCCGCGAUUGAAUGAGCCGAUGUCGGAUUAGCUAGUUGGCGGGGUAAAGGCCCACCAAGGCGACGAUCAGUAGCUGGUCUGAGAGGAUGAUCAGCCACACUGGAACUGAGACACGGUCCAGACUCCUACGGGAGGCAGCAGUGGGGAAUAUUGGACAAUGGGCGCAAGCCUGAUCCAGCCAUACCGCGUGGGUGAAGAAGGCCUUCGGGUUGUAAAGCCCUUUUGUUGGGAAAGAAAUCCAGCUGGUUAAUACCCGGUUGGGAUGACGGUACCCAAAGAAUAAGCACCGGCUAACUUCGUGCCAGCCGCCGCCGUAA